This 506-nucleotide ribosomal RNA is filed under the name uncultured bacterium. Its description in RNAcentral is "partial 16S ribosomal RNA". It matches the Rfam family "Bacterial small subunit ribosomal RNA", at positions 28 to 523 of the family's 1533-position model. The record is from RNAcentral.
GAUGAACGCUAGCUACAGGCUUAACACAUGCAAGUCGAGGGGUAACGAGAGGGAAGCUUGCUUUCCUUGUCGACGACCGGCGCACGGGUGUGUAACGCGUAUCCAACCUGCCCCCAACUAAGGAAUAACCUUGCGAAAGUAAGACUAAUACCCUAUAAUUUCCUCAGAUGACAUCUGACGAGGAAUAAAGAUUUAUCGGUUGUGGAUGGGGAUGCGUCUGAUUAGCUUGUUGGCGGGGUAACGGCCCACCAAGGCAACGAUCAGUAGGGGUUCUGAGAGGAAGGUCCCCCACAUUGGAACUGAGACACGGUCCAAACUCCUACGGGAGGCAGCAGUGAGGAAUAUUGGUCAAUGGGCGGAAGCCUGAACCAGCCAAGUAGCGUGCAGGAUGACGGCCCUAUGGGUUGUAAACUGCUUUUAUACAGGAAUAAAGUUAGCCACGUGUGGUUAUUUGUAGGUACUGUAUGAAUAAGGACCGGCUAAUUCCGUGCCAGCAGCCGCAGUAA